This 261-nucleotide ribosomal RNA is filed under the name Triticum aestivum (bread wheat). Its description in RNAcentral is "partial small subunit ribosomal RNA". The record is from RNAcentral. Lineage: Eukaryota; Viridiplantae; Streptophyta; Magnoliopsida; Poales; Poaceae.
AUGGCAAAGGAGAUGCGUGCGUUCGCGCGCAAGGCCCCCCAGGAAUCAUGUGUACGUGGCCAAGAUGACCACGCGGCUCGCAGCCCCGUCUGGGCCAUCCUCACUACCGUCCUCGCCUUAGAGUUCAGCAUCGGAACUAAAACCUGCUGCUCUGAAGGUGCCAGCGUCGGUGAGGGAAUUUAUCAAUGGUGGGUUCAGUACAGUAUCUGCUGCUAUGUUAUUUGCAGCCAGAGAAGAUAUAUGUUCAUGCCAUUUUCUUAA